This is a small nucleolar RNA of Kogia breviceps (pygmy sperm whale), 81 nucleotides long. RefSeq annotates it as small nucleolar RNA SNORD115. Lineage: Eukaryota; Metazoa; Chordata; Mammalia; Artiodactyla; Physeteridae. The record is from RefSeq and is a predicted model, not a curated record. The transcript has a single exon.
GGGUCAAUUAUGAGAACUCUUAUGGUCCUGAAUAGAGAUGAUGACCUAAAAAUCAUGCUCAGUAGGAUUAUACUGAUGCCC